This 782-nucleotide transfer RNA is filed under the name Salmo salar (Atlantic salmon). Its description in RNAcentral is "lncRNA (ENSSSAG00000098051.1)". The stretch from base 379 to 451 matches the Rfam family "tRNA". Lineage: Eukaryota; Metazoa; Chordata; Actinopteri; Salmoniformes; Salmonidae. The record is from RNAcentral.
CGGUUCGAAACCGGGCGGAAACAGUGCUCUUUGACACGUGCAGUAGGUACUGUACUUUCAACAAAGAAUUGUUAUUUUCAUGAAUUCUGUAUUUUGGAAAUUCGAAUAAGUGCCAUGAAUAUCUGUAAAAUUCGGUUUACUCCUUGCAGAUAGUUGUUGAAGCAGUUUCUGUAGUGUAGUGGUUAUCACGUUCGCUUAACACGCGAAAGGUCCUCGGUUCCAAACCGGGCGGAAACAGAGCUCUUUGACACGUGCAGUAGGUACUGUACUUUCAACAAAGAAUUGUUAUUUUCAUAAAUUCUGUAUUUUGGAAAUUCGAAUACGUGCCCUGAAUAUCUGUAAAAUUCGGUUUACUUCUUGCAGGAAAAUCAAGCAGCAGUUUCUGUAGUGUAGUGGUUAUCACGUUCGCUUUACAUGCGAAAGGUCCUCGGUUCGAAACCGGGCGGAAACAGAGCUCUUUGACACGUGCAGUAGGUACUGUACUUUCAACAAAGAGUUGUUAUUUUCAUAAAUUCUGUAUUUUGGAAAUUCGAAUACGUGCCCUGAAUAUCUGUAAAAUUCGGUUUACUUCUAGCAGGAAAAUCAAGCAGCAGUUUCUGUAGUGUAGUGGUUAUCACGUUCGCUUUACACGCGAAAGGUCCUCGGUUUGAAACCGGGCGGAAACAGUGCUCUUUGACACGUGCAGUAGGUACAGUACUUUUAAAAGAGAAUAGUUAUUUUCAUAAAUGCCUAAUUUUGGAAAUUUGAACACGUGCCAUGAAUAUCUGUAAAAUUCGGUUUAC